Molecule: ribosomal RNA, 510 nt
Filed under: uncultured bacterium
Lineage: Bacteria
Description: bacterial SSU rRNA
Rfam family: Bacterial small subunit ribosomal RNA
Source: RNAcentral
GAUGAACGCUGGCGGCGUGCUUAACACAUGCAAGUCGAACGAAGCAUUACUUUUGGAGAGAAUCAGCUUGCUGAUUCUUGACAUGUGUAAUGACUGAGUGGCGGACGGGUGAGUAACGCGUGGAUAACCUGCCUCAUACAGGGGGAUAACAGUUAGAAAUGACUGCUAAUACCGCAUAAGCGCACAGAAUCGCAUGAUUCAGUGUGAAAAACUCCGGUGGUAUGAGAUGGAUCCGCGUCUGAUUAGCUAGUUGGAGGGGUAACGGCCCACCAAGGCAACGAUCAGUAGCCGGCCUGAGAGGGCGACCGGCCACAUUGGGACUGAGACACGGCCCAAACUCCUACGGGAGGCAGCAGUGGGGAAUAUUGCACAAUGGGGGAAACCCUGAUGCAGCGACGCCGCGUGAGCGAAGAAGUAUUUCGGUAUGUAAAGCUCUAUCAGCAGGGAAGAAAAUGACGGUACCUGACUAAGAAGCCCCGGCUAACUACGUGCCAGCCGCCGCCGUAAUAC